Molecule: ribosomal RNA, 423 nt
Filed under: uncultured bacterium
Lineage: Bacteria
Description: bacterial SSU rRNA
Rfam family: Bacterial small subunit ribosomal RNA
Source: RNAcentral
GAGGAAUAUUGGACAAUGGAGGCAACUCUGAUCCAGCCAUGCCGCGUGAAGGAAUAAGGCCCUAUGGUUCGUAAACUUCUUUUGACGCAGAGCAAUAAGGACUACGUGUAGUCUGAUGAGAGUAUGCGUCGAAUAAGCAUCGGCUCACUGCGUGCCAGCAGCCGCGGUAAUACGGAGGAUGCAAGCGUUAUCCGGAUUUAUUGGGUUUAAAGGGUGCGUAGGCUGAAGAUCAAGUCAGCGGUGAAAUGUCCCGGCUCAACCGGGGCCUUGCCGUUGAAACUGGUAAUCUGGAAUGCGGAUGCAGUAGGAGGAAUGUGUGGUGUAGCGGUGAAAUGCAUAGAUAUCACACAGAACACCGAUUGCGAAGGCAUCUCACGAAUCCGCUAUUGACGCUGAGGCACGAAAGCGUGGGGAUCAAACAGG